RNAcentral lists this ribosomal RNA (220 nucleotides) under Salmonella enterica. RNAcentral's name for it is "partial 16S ribosomal RNA". It matches the Rfam family "Bacterial small subunit ribosomal RNA", at positions 1 to 217 of the family's 1533-position model. Lineage: Bacteria; Pseudomonadati; Pseudomonadota; Gammaproteobacteria; Enterobacterales; Enterobacteriaceae. The record is from RNAcentral.
AAAUUGAAGAGUUUGAUCAUGGCUCAGAUUGAACGCUGGCGGCAGGCCUAACACAUGCAAGUCGAACGGUAACAGGAAGCAGCUUGCUGCUUCGCUGACGAGUGGCGGACGGGUGAGUAAUGUCUGGGAAACUGCCUGAUGGAGGGGGAUAACUACUGGAAACGGUGGCUAAUACCGCAUAACGUCGCAAGACCAAAGAGGGGGACCUUUGGGCCUCUUG